Molecule: non-coding RNA, 2808 nt
Organism: Ictidomys tridecemlineatus (thirteen-lined ground squirrel)
Lineage: Eukaryota; Metazoa; Chordata; Mammalia; Rodentia; Sciuridae
Source: RefSeq, a predicted model, not a curated record
UCUCACCUGUCAUAGGCAGAGGUUGGGUGAGACCAGGCAUUCUCCAGGGAGGACCGUCAGCAUCAGGGUCACUGGGGGCCCAGGUAAAAAUGUGCAUGUCCAGCCCUCUGCGACCUCCAGGGGAGCUGCACACAACCCCAGGAGAGUGAGCACCUGGGAUUCUUUUGCGUGCUCAGAAGCAAGGAGUCCUGGGAGAUGAUCUCAGAGGUCCCUUCUGCUCUCAAAUUCUAAGAACCCCUGAGUUUUCUUCUAAAUAUCUGGCCAGGUCAGUACCAUGAAAUCAGGGACUUGUAGCUUCAAUGUGUUACAAAUAAGGUCUUGAAUUUUGAUGCAUUAUGUGAAAGAUAACAGGAAACAAGCCCAGAACAGUAUAGUUGGGUGGGUAGGGAAUCUCCGGGGGCCUUUUGCUUUUUGAGAGAAUAGAGGGAAACCUGUCUAACUGCUGCUCGGGAACUCGGCUUGGGGGGCUCUUCUCUGUACCUCAUUCAUUUCCUCUUUGCCCUCGGUCUCCUCGGUGUCAACAGAGACAGUUAUCCAGGCUUUUUAUAGUCCGGAGCCACCAAAUCCAGAAUCGUUCUAAUUGGCCUCCGUGUAUUAAGAAACUCCCACAGUGCACAGGCAGCCCACCUUCUUUGGAAUGAGUGAAAUCUUCCAGAAACCCAAAAUACAGGAAAGACCCUAACAAUUUGCAAGAAGGGAAAGUGAGCCCCUCGAACUCCCUGUGGCUGUCUUCCCAGACUGCGAGGCCUUCCCUAACCAGGACCCGGCUGAUGGACCCAAGAUCCGCCCCAGCGCCGGCCAAGAAGGGCGAAGGGCCCAACACGGAGGAAGUCACAUGCCCUGCGAAAGAGUUCCUUCUAUCUCAGAGGAGUAUUAGCUUCUUUAAUCUAAGAAGGCAAUGAGAGGUUUUUAAACUGAUUAAAUCAGCUUAGUUCAUACAAAGUCUAUUAUGACUAAAUAUUCAAUUAAAACAAUUUCCAAAGCAAAAUCUGACAAAAAUCCACUCUUAAAGUAAUUUAGAUGAUAGGUUCUUAACAUUUGGCAAAUUAAAUCCCUCUCAUGGUUGGUAUUUUCCUGAGGGUCAGAAAUAGUUGCAGAAGUUCAUUGGGACCAAAAAAAAAGAAAGAAAGAAAGAAAGAAAACCUACUCUGUGUACUUGUCAGGUUCCAAGAUCAUACACAGUAAAAACUGGAAAUCAUUAACAUGAGCCUAACAUUCCUAUUUUAUUUUAUUUUUACUCCAAAGGCUACAUACAGGCAAAAGUUAAACAUGUCAUCACAAAUGCUUUAAAUAAAAAUAAAAAUUCCAAAAAUAAAAAUUCCUCAAAAUCCAUUUACUUUAUGGAAAUAUAUAUGACAAUUAUACUGAAGUUGAUUUUAUCCUUUUUUUCUCAUCAAUCAGAAAAAUACGUAUAUUAUAAAAAAGAAUUUCAUGUCCAGAAUAACUUUUUUUUUUUAAAUCCUUGAGGAAUAAUUCUAAAAGAAGCUGAAUGUUCAGAGAAAUGUGUGUCGUUGAGAGAUACAAGUCCCAGACUUUUGCUAUAUGGACUCCAUAUUCUUAUACCUCAUAGUAGAACUGCUGAAAAAACUUGAGUUUAGAAAAAAGCACUUUUAAAAACGAUGAUUGGUGAUUAUCAUGGCUGACGUGGUGAGCGAUGGGAGGGAAGGGGAGGGACUGUCACCCACAGGCGCUGUCGACGGUCGACUGUCUGAAUGGAGAGUCUUACUCAGGGACCGGAGCUGCCUGCCACAGGGUCUGGAAGUCCUGGUACCUCGAGGUCUGGGCCACGUGUGCCUGUACCAGUUCCCACGACUCCAGGUGGCCAGGAGGAGCAGGCACCUCCUGCACCUGCCCUCGCCCAGGUAAAAGCACCCAGUGGGACAAAGCUGAGUGAGGAGAACCGGCCCGUUUUGAGCGGGUCCCCCCGAUCCCCACUCGGCCGUUUUCCUCUCCUGAGACUGGUGUUUCUUUUGCAGUGAUUACAGUGUAUGUCAGCAUCACCAACAGUCAAUAUAGGCAGGAGGCGCUCAAAGCUCAGGGCUGGGAAUGCUCACGUGAAUCUCGGAAAGGAGAUCGAAGCUCCUUGUCCUAGGUGACAAUGCAGGGGACAGCUGCCAGGCUAGAGGGCAUGGGGAUCCCGAUUGACGGAUCAGGGCGGAUCAGAGGAGCAGGGCUCUUUCAACAAAACGUGAUCGAGGGGAUCUGGGAAGUCCUCAGUGGGGGAAAACACACCUCAACAGUGGAAGAAGCUCAGUUCAAACACUGAAAAAAAUGAUGGAUUCCUCUUUCAAUUGGAAACAGCAGGUUUACUACUAGGAGAAAUCCCGGGCCGAGGCUCUGAGCCAUCCAUGGAAAAGGCCCAGCUGAAAUUCUGGUUGGACCUAUUUCCAUGGAGGGUCCGAAAGACUUGGAGCCUGAUUUCUAUUCUGAUACUAAAAUGUGCUUGUACUUUUCAUGUGAGGCAACUCUGACUGUUGCUUCCCUUUUACGGCUUAAGGAAAAAAAAAAGUUUUAAAACAGAAAAUAAGAGAGAGGUGUGUAAUGUCAGGGCAAAAUCAGCCUAAGUGUGGUUUUUCUUUUCCCUGGGACAGAAGAAACAAUGGCCACAGCUCAUGGUUUGCAGGGAUGUGUCACAACAACCAACCCAGAGCCAGGCUCCCCCAGCAAGUGCUCAGACUAGCUGGUACAUGGGGCUUCAAAGACUCAUUAACUAGGGGAAGCCGGGCCAUUCAGAGUGAACAGGGAGUGCAGAAAACAACAAUUAGCCCGAGGAAGGAAUUUUAAAGGGCCAAAAAAAAAAAAAAAAAA